UACGUAGGUGGCGAGCGUUGUCCGGAAUCACUGGGCGUAAAGGGCGCGUAGGCGGCGAAGCAAGUCGCAUGUGAAAGACCAGGGCUCAACCCUGGGAGGUCAUGCGAAACUGUUUUGCUUGAGUGCAGUAGAGGGAAGCGGAAUUCCUGGUGUAGCGGUAAAAUGCGUAGAGAUCAGGAGGAACACCGGUGGCGAAGGCGGCUUCCUGGGCUGUAACUGACGCUGAUGCGCGAAAGCGUGGGGAGCAAACAGG
This 253-nucleotide ribosomal RNA is filed under the name uncultured bacterium. RNAcentral describes it as "partial 16S ribosomal RNA". It matches the Rfam family "Bacterial small subunit ribosomal RNA", at positions 524 to 776 of the family's 1533-position model. The record is from RNAcentral.